RNAcentral lists this ribosomal RNA (253 nucleotides) under uncultured bacterium. Its description in RNAcentral is "partial 16S ribosomal RNA". It matches the Rfam family "Bacterial small subunit ribosomal RNA", at positions 524 to 776 of the family's 1533-position model. The record is from RNAcentral.
UACAGAGGGGGCAAGCGUUAUUCGGAAUUAUUGGGCGUAAAGGGCGCGUAGGCGGCUUUGCAAGUGGCGGGUGAAAUCCCUCGGCUUAACCGAGGAACUGCCUGUCAAACUGCAUGGCUUGAGACCAGGAGAGGUGAGUGGAAUUCCCAGUGUAGCGGUGAAAUGCGUAGAUAUUGGGAGGAACACCAGUGGCGAAGGCGGCUCACUGGACCGGUACUGACGCUGAUGCGCGAAAGCGUGGGGAGCAAACGGG